UUUUAAAAUAUUUUUAAUUCUAGGGCGAAUUUUGGAUUCGUAACGAAUACAGAAUUCGUCCCAGAUUUUUGGGACAAAUCCAUGAUUUAGGGAAGAAUUCAGAAUUCGUCCCAAUCUGGGACGAAUCCUCAAUUUGUCGCCAAAAACCCCUAAAAUCGUUCCAGAUCUCCGUUCCUUUCCUUUGCCACUCGUGUUUUCUUCUCUCGGCGGUGGCUGCAGCGAUCUUCGGCGGCGGUGACUGCGAUCUCCAGCGGCGUUGGCAGUGUGUCUUGUGGAUUUGCACACUCGGGUUGCAGUAAUUCUAAAUCAAGACGCAAUCACUGAGAUGGGCUAUGGGCAUAGUUUCUGCAAUGAUUAUUCUAAGACUCAUAGAGAGGAGAAGAGGGAAGAGUUGUUCGAAAAUCUAAAACUUGAUGAUUCUAUUGGAUGGGAAGUUGAUGUUAUAGAUCCAUGGGAGCUAUCAGCUAAGAUGUUAAAGAGGAAAAGAAGAUUUGAUGGGAAAGAAAGUUUGUGGAAAAUAAAUAUGAGUUGAUGUAUGUAUAGUUUAUUUUGAAAAAACUUGUAUAACUUUUAGGAGUGUUGGACUUGUAACUUCUUUGAGUCUUGAAGAAUUGAUUUGUGGAACUUUGGAUUUGUAUUAUUGUAAAAUUGAUUUUAAAUAUUAAUAGAUUUAUAUAUUUGUUAAA
RNA transcript from Zingiber officinale, 686 nucleotides. It is a transcript of the gene named ribonuclease H2 subunit A-like, with no coding region annotated. The transcript has 4 exons. The record is from RefSeq and is a predicted model, not a curated record. NCBI's taxonomy places the organism in Eukaryota, Viridiplantae, Streptophyta, Magnoliopsida, Zingiberales, Zingiberaceae.